GGCGAACGGGUGAGUAAUAUAUCGGAACGUGCCCAGUCGUGGGGGAUAACGCAGCGAAAGCUGUGCUAAUACCGCAUACGAUCUAUGGAUGAAAGCGGGGGACUCGUAAGGGCCUCGCGCGAUUGGAGCGGCUGAUAUCAGAUUAGGUAGUUGGUGGGGUAAAGGCCUACCAAGCCUGCGAUCUGUAGCUGGUCUGAGAGGACGACCAGCCACACUGGAACUGAGACACGGUCCAGACUCC
Molecule: ribosomal RNA, 241 nt
Filed under: uncultured bacterium
Lineage: Bacteria
Description: partial 16S ribosomal RNA
Rfam family: Bacterial small subunit ribosomal RNA
Source: RNAcentral